AGAGUUUGAUCCUGGCUCAGGACGACGCUGGCGGCGUGCCUAUACAUGCAAGUCGAGCGAACCGAAGGGAGCUUGCUCCUUUAGGUUAGCGGCGGACGGGUGAGUAACACGUGGGCAACCUGCCCUGCAGACUGGGAUAACUUCGGGAAACCGGAGCUAAUACCGGAUAACACCGAAAACCGCAUGGUUUUCGGUUGAAAGGCGGCUUUUAGCUGUCACUGCAGGAUGGGCCCGCGGCGCAUUAGCUAGUUGGUGAGGUAACGGCUCACCAAGGCGACGAUGCGUAGCCGACCUGAGAGGGUGACCGGCCACACUGGGACUGAGACACGGCCCAGACUCCUACGGGAGGCAGCAGUAGGGAAUCUUCCGCAAUGGACGAAAGUCUGACGGAGCAACGCCGCGUGAGCGAAGAAGGUCUUCGGAUCGUAAAGCUCUGUUGUCAGGGAAGAACAAGUGCCGUUCGAACAGGGCGGUACCUUGACGGUACC
RNAcentral lists this ribosomal RNA (488 nucleotides) under Bacillus sp. S-0-55-5. RNAcentral describes it as "bacterial SSU rRNA". It matches the Rfam family "Bacterial small subunit ribosomal RNA", at positions 8 to 479 of the family's 1533-position model. The record is from RNAcentral. Lineage: Bacteria; Bacillati; Bacillota; Bacilli; Caryophanales; Bacillaceae.